AUGCCGUGAUGAUGGCACUUUCGUAAUAACUUCUUGAACUGCUCCCAUGCCUCAUGUAAAGAAUCUUCAUCAAGUUGCUAAAAUAAAGUUAUUUCAUUUUAAAUCUU
Non-coding RNA from Gossypium hirsutum (cotton), 107 nucleotides. NCBI's taxonomy places the organism in Eukaryota, Viridiplantae, Streptophyta, Magnoliopsida, Malvales, Malvaceae. The record is from Rfam.